GCUGGACAGAUCAGGCUCCCCGGCUAGCAAAUCAGGCCGCAAGCUUCUCUGCAUCUUCUCUGUUAUUGAGGAAUGGCAAACUCGACAUCAUGUGUAAUCCCCCCACCCCACCCCCAUGAGGAGCAGUGCAGUCCGGUGAGGACCAUCAUGUGAGAAGGUACAAGUGCACUUUGGGUACUGCAAGCGAAGCCUGUUCAGUAAUGGAUAAGACUGAAGGGACUUCUCCGCUUGAGGAUCAUUCAUACUAUGGUGAAUUUCAUGUUGGUGCCAGGCGCUGGAUUGAGUCAUGGAGGUUAGUGUCCUUGGCCCGCAGAGCACAGGUUGGGACUCCAGAACCCUGCCUUGUUGAGCCAGACA
Molecule: long non-coding RNA, 357 nt
Organism: Gopherus evgoodei (Goodes thornscrub tortoise)
Lineage: Eukaryota; Metazoa; Chordata; Testudines; Testudinidae
Exons: 3
Source: RefSeq, a predicted model, not a curated record